CAAAGAGGCGGGGGUCUCAGCCUGGUUCUUCCUUGUUCCUCGUCCUCUGAGGUAGCAACUGCCUCAUCUUUUCCAUCUAUGGAGUGUGGAAUAUGUGCCCUACUUCAUUCAGGAAUGUUGGACAAACCAGCUAUUUAGAGAGUGAAGGAGAGGAACUUCCGAGAGCAACCGGCCCCCAAGAGAAACCCAGGGACUCCUGCCCUUCGGCAGCUUUGUCCAUGUGCUGCUCACACCAAAAAGCACUCGAGGGUGACCUGCACCAAAAAUGCAUUGCCGUAGUCUGGGCACAGUGGAUCACGCCUGUAAUCCCAGCUCUUUGGGAGGCCAAGGCAAUCAGCAAGACUCCGUGGGCGUGGGACCCUCCGAGCCAGGUGCGGGAUAUAGUCUCGCGGUGCGCCGUUUUUUAAGCCCGUCGGAAAAGCGCAAUAUUCGGGUGGGAGUGACUCGAUUUUCCAGGUGCCUCCGUCACCCCUUUCUUUGACUCGGAAAGGGAACUCCCUGACCCCUUGCGCUUCCCAAGUGAGGCAAUGCCUCACCCUGCUUCGGCUCGCCCCUGGUGCGCGCACCCACUGACCUGCGCCCACUGUCUGGCACUCCCUAGUGAGAUGAACCCGGUACCUCAGAUGGAAAUGCAGAAAUCACCCGUCUUCUGCGUCGCUCACGCUGGGAGCUGUAGACCGGAGCUGUUCCUAUUCGGCCAUCUUGGCUCCUCCACCAGAAAUGAUGUAGCUUCUAUCAGGAAUCUGGUAGCAAUGCAAAGCUAAGAGAAGUUAGAACACUUGAAAUUAGCUAAGCGAGAAUGCCAUCAGCAGUGCAUCGAUCUCAGCUGCAUCCAGGUGUAUCAGUUGAAUGGCAGAGGGACUAGAAAUUACAUUUCACGAAGAAAAUUUACAGAACUAAAGAUAUUUAGGCUGCAAAAGAAAAGACUAAGAGAACAGUAUACAAGCAUGGUGAAGAGUGAAAUCUCUACUGCUAAACUACAGAGGUAUCCGAUACAGGUUCUUAAGUGCUGAGGGACUUUGCAUAAAUUACUGAUGCUGUGGUUUUGGUUUUCUCCAGUGUAAAUAGUGUGGCACUGUGCUAAGUUGGACUUACAGAGAUGAAUAAGAUUUGGCCACAUCUUCAAGGAGCUCAGACCUUCAUGGACGUACCAAAUAUAUACAGAACUAACUCUACUGCUUAUCAUAAUGAGAGCUGUGCUAUGGAUAUUUGAAAGUUAGAGAGAUUUAUUUUCAACAGAAUAAUAAAGUCAACUUUCACAAACUGGUGACAGAUGAUCUGGGCCUUGCAGACAGGGGAGGACUGACAGAUUGAGAAGAGUAUUUGGUUAAAAACGGAUCAUAAACUGGUAUAAAUAUCUAAACAAACUCAUGAGAAUGAGCAGAGUCAGACACAAUAAAAUAAUUCAAAGAUAUAUCAGAUAAACCUGGACCCAAAAGUCAUGACUUUUUCUUUUCAGUUAACUCUGAACAAUUUACAAUAACUUCCUCAAUUAUUGUUUGUCUCAUUUUAACAUUUUGUAAUAACACCUAUGUCUCCAUAUUGGUAUGAAGAUUAAAUGAAAAUACAUCUAUGUUAGAUAGUCCCUAAGUUUCUGUCCCUGAUAUAAGUCCACCCUCCCCACCAUCAUGUGAUCACACGCAGGUGCACAUGCACAGAUGUAUACAUGCAUGCCGUUAUGGGGACAGUAAUUGCAAAUAUCAAUACUGUUAUGGUUGUUACUUCAGCCAUUGCACAAGUGUAGACCUCUGGAUCAACACACAUACGUAUGUGUAUGUGUAACAAAUAUAUGGCUAAUAAUGCAUAGGUUUCAUAGCUAUACCUUGAAAUCAAUUUAUUAAAGGGAUGUGUCCUUCCCAUGCUGACUCACCUACUGCGGCCCAAAAGCAACAACGUAAACUGCCCUGGAUAAAACAUCUGCAGACAAGAGAUCUCUAAGCUAAGCUACAGCUUCAUCAAGCAUGGAGUUAUCUCAUUUCAUAGCUUCACACACACAAAGGCGCGCGCACACACACACACACACACACACAGCUCUCAGCUGGAGACCGUCAGGGAAAACAAGUACCAGUGAGACCUGGGGAUCUUCAUUUGAUUUUGUCUACUGGGUGAGGCUGUGUUGAAAACACUUUGACAGAGGGCUCUUCUCUUGGGGCUCAUCAAAUAUUGCUGGUAGAGGGUUUGCUUGCUUUAAAUAUUCCUUUCCUCAGGUAACGAAGAAUACCAUGUAAUUUGUAAUGAUAACUUGGAUAAUGAAUGCACACUGUAGUCAGCCAUUACCAGUGGUAAUUGGUCUUCCUUUCAUCUCCUGUCAAGCAGAGUGGUUAGGAUUAGGACCAAAAGGCAGCUAUCAUCUCUCUCAUUUCCUGACUCAGACAAAAGGCAAAAAAAAAAAGGUGCCUGCUUGUGCUGAUAGGUGUCUGAUCAAAGCGGCUGAAAGCUGUCAGAAGCCAGCCAGCCUCAGCACCUGACUACUCCUUAAUGCAGCUUUGCCUUUGAUGUACAGGCAGUCCAACCGGGGUUCUAUUUAUGUAAAAAAAAAUAAUCAGGAUUGUAAUAGAACAGGAGAAAGUGUCAUUUUCUAUUUUGAUUCCAGUUUUGCAGUCUGACACCUAUAGGAAAUGUGGACUAAUUCUGUCCAGAGUAUGGUGUGUGUGUGUGUGUGUGUGUGUGUGUGUGUGUGUGUGUGUGUAACUCAAUAAAAUAAAAUAUCUUUGAAACUUCAUCAAAUACAUUUGGCAGUGAGCAGAAGUUAGAUUGCUGGUAGAAAGAAAUUAUCCUUCUUGGAAAGUAAAAAAAAAAUGCUUAAGUAAAAUUGCAGCAGUUUUGACAUGUGUAUUUUAUGUUUCAGAAAUUCUACAGGUUAUAGGUUUAUAAAUGGAGAACUGGUCUUGGAUUUAAAUGAAUUGGCAUCGUAUCUCAGACUUCUAGCUUUCUACCCAUGUGAAUUUAGGUGCGUACUAAUCACAUAUGUGUUUUAAGUUUAUCACUGGCUAUAUACAUGGUUACUUUUGUAUAUGCCUGUGCAUUGAAUGAAAAUACCUGGCAUGUGGUUGUUAUAAGCAAUAGACAGUUUUUGGCCAGAGAGCCAGGCAGACAAGUGUUAAUAUCACUUAAGCCCUCUGUGUCUCAAGUUCAAAAUUUCUAAAAUGAGUGAAUAUAAUAUUUGUUUGAAUUAAAGUAUACAAAGCAUGUAUCUCAGUGUCUAAGACAUUGUAAGACACCAAUAAAUGUCCAGUAUUU
This 3240-nucleotide long non-coding RNA is filed under the name Homo sapiens (human). Its description in RNAcentral is "long non-coding RNA NONHSAT184064.1". Lineage: Eukaryota; Metazoa; Chordata; Mammalia; Primates; Hominidae. The record is from RNAcentral.